GAUGAACGCUAGCGGCAGGCCUAACACAUGCAAGUCGAGGGAGAAGCCCUUUCGGGGGCAGAAACCGGCGCACGGGUGCGUAACGCGUAUGCAACCUACCUUUCACAGGGGGAUAGCCCGAAGAAAUUUGGAUUAAUACCCCAUAAUAUUAUUGGAUGGCAUCAUUUGAUAAUUAAAACUGCGGUGGUGAAAGAUGGGCAUGCGUCCUAUUAGCUAGUUGGAGUGGUAACGGCACCCCAAGGCUACGAUAGGUAGGGGUCCUGAGAGGGAGAUCCCCCACACUGGUACUGAGACAGGGACCAGACUCCUACGGGAGGCAGCAGUGAGGAAUAUUGGUCAAUGGUCGGAAGACUGAACCAGCCAUGCCGCGUGCAGGAAGAAUGCCUUAUGGGUUGUAAACUGCUUUUAUAUGGGAAGAAUAAGGCGUACGUGUACGUCGAUGACGGUACCAUAUGAAUAAGCAUCGGCUAACUCCGUG
This 478-nucleotide ribosomal RNA is filed under the name uncultured bacterium. RNAcentral describes it as "partial 16S ribosomal RNA". It matches the Rfam family "Bacterial small subunit ribosomal RNA", at positions 28 to 507 of the family's 1533-position model. The record is from RNAcentral.